RNAcentral lists this ribosomal RNA (468 nucleotides) under uncultured bacterium. Its description in RNAcentral is "partial 16S ribosomal RNA". It matches the Rfam family "Bacterial small subunit ribosomal RNA", at positions 28 to 507 of the family's 1533-position model. The record is from RNAcentral.
GAUGAACGCUGGCGGCGUGCUUAACACAUGCAAGUCGAACGGAAAGGCCCAAUUUUCCUUGUGUACUCGAGUGGCUAACGUGUGAGUAACACGUGGGUGAUCUGCCCUGUACUUCGGGAUAUUCCUUGUAAACUGGGUCUACUACUUGUUAUUACCACUUCUUCGAUGGUGUGGUGGCUAGUUUUUUCGGUGUGGGAUGAGCUCGCGGCCUAUCAGCUUCUUGGUGGGGUAUUGUCCUACCAAGGCGUCGACGGGGAGCCGGCCUGAGAGGGUGUACGUCCACAUUGGGACUGAGAUACGGCGCAGAGUCGUACGGGAGGAAGCAGUGGAGAAUAUGGAACAAUGAGGGAAAGACUGAUGCAGCGACGCCGCGUGGGGGAUGACGGCAUUCGGGUUGUAAACUCCGUUAGCUAGGGACGAAGAGGGUUUGUGACGGUACCUGGAGAAGAAGCACCGGCUAACUACGUG